This 4760-nucleotide ribosomal RNA is filed under the name Triticum aestivum (bread wheat). RNAcentral describes it as "partial small subunit ribosomal RNA". The record is from RNAcentral. Lineage: Eukaryota; Viridiplantae; Streptophyta; Magnoliopsida; Poales; Poaceae.
UUUAAACCACUGGGAUACAACGACCAAACUAAUACUAUUUACGAACAACUUUACCCGGUUGACUUAAGAAAAAGACGACAUACAGUGGGAAUGCACUACUUUCAAUAUAACAGAUUCCCUGCUGAAUUAACUAACAUCAAGAGAAAUAGGGACUUUCCACGAUACGUUGUUAUGUUUUAACGAAAACAAACGUCCCUAUAUACAGAAAACUAGAAGAACUACCGUAUAUACUCCUGGACGUUAUGACUCGGACCUUCAAUCAGCAACUCCGUGACCAGUACCAUCACUAUAGAUGACGGUCUUGUAUUUGCAAACCGGGAGGAACAACGGUGCUUCCUAAAACUAGAUGACCUAAACGUCUUGGUCAAUUACCGUACUACGACCGACAUCAUUACCUCCCAACACUAAAGACCUACAACACGAUCCUAAUCCUACCUAACCGCAGGAGAAGAGUGCUUUGUGUGACUGUGUUUCAAAGACCAAAGAUUGCAUGUUCCUAAUAAAUGAUACUUGUUUAUAACGUUACAAGUAACCAUCAUGACAAACAACUCCACUACGGAGACGAUGUCCAUACUUUAAUAGCAACCCGGAAGUUGAUAAAAAUAAACUACAUAUACGAAGGUUUGUGAUGAAUAAGGUCAUGACGUAUGACCUGUUUUUGUUAAAGGAAUAUACGAUCUUGUGCCGUACCGAUUAAUCAUUAACGUGAUGUAAGGAUUAUUGAAAAUUUGAAAACCCUCCGUACCGUUACAAGAAGUUGGUACUAAAUCAAGUAUAUAUUAAUCUGUGAAGUUUUUCUUACAGGACACUGUAUUGAGUGGAACCACUGAUACGAUGCUUCACAGGCUUGGACGUAAAAUAUAGUCCUACUAUUUUUAAGUGGUUAUAUAGUAGCAAGUGUGAUUUAAAAAGGCAAACCUACUUUUUGGCGGCAGUGAUUAAAUCGAUUAGCGAGUGGUCAUCCAUUAGAUCCUACGAAACAUAGGGAUCUGGGUGUGGGUGUGUGCUGGCGGUAGAGGGUGAAAGGAGUCAUAGUGCUGGACUACGCUGCAACCGUCGCGUUAGUCAGCCUCCUCCGGUCACGACUGCUACUGCUGAGACGCUACCCCUUUCCAGCGAACAGCAGCGCCGUGGUCGUUAAGGUGCUAGCGUAUUAUGGGCGUACAACUACUGGAGGUCCUGAGAGGCCGGAGGAGGGAGGUCCAUGGAGCGGUUUGGGAUUGGCAGAGUCCAAGUGUCAAAUAAUAAUAUGAUGAUAACAAAUUAAUCUACCAUUGUAUUUUGAACCUCACAAACUAUCCUCAAGAAUAAGUGCCAGACUCUACGACUGACCCAAGAGAGACAGAGAGUGUUCAAACAGGAACACAAUAGAGAAAUAAGUCCCAUGAGGGAGGCAAAGAUUUACAUUCUAGAAAAUCUCUAAAGUGAUAUCUGAUGUAUGCAUUGUUUUCCUCAUUUAGAUGUGAGAUUUCAUACAGAUAUAUGUAGGCAUACAUCAGGUGUCACCUUAGAGAUUUUCCAGAAUAUAAAUCUUUGCCUCCCUCAUUUUUUUACGGAUCUUAUUUCUUUACUACUUAACAUAACAUGUGUAAUAACAUCAAUUUCUAAUACAAAUUUUAGCUAGUGUGAAACCUACGACGGUUGAACGUCCCAGCUACUCUGUAAUUUAACGGUAUAACGAAAAGGGAGAAGAAGUGCACAAUCCUUAUAUAGAAAUUGUUAUCUUAAAUUAUAAACACCAAAGUGUAUUCCUUCUCUGCCAUAAUAUAGUCAGUGCUCACUACCUCAGUACACCAACAACGGCAGCACGAUUUACAACCACGUCACAUUUUAAGGACUCGAUCUGUAAUACCAUGUUAUAAUUAAAAUCCUAACAACGGUUAGUAUGGGCAGACAUCGAUAUAGUAUAACGUUUUAAGGUACUUGUAAACCAGGUGUGAUAAAAAGACAAUAUGACAAGGACGGGUUCCCACCUACUUCCACCUGCACCCGCGGCGCCGACGGUGGUUCCUACAUCCCCAGUGCGAUGUUGGCCACUCCUGUGCCAUCCGUGCGGUUGGCGUGAUAUCGGAAUGUUAAAAAGGAUUAAAGAGAUCCAUACGCUCUAGUUAAAUUAUAAGUGUAUAUACGACUUUAAAACUGAAUCUUUUUGGUCGUGACUUCAAUAUACUUCAAAGAACGCUCUCGAUAUAGUAAGAAAAAUCAUGAUGUUUAAUUAAGGGUACUCAUGGUUACCACUCUAAAACUCCGCAUUUAUGACCUACACUAAGAGUAACGACCGUUAGAAGUACUUGGAUAGUUCCUCUUGUAACGUUAUGAAUAGGCAACGUGUCCGCAAGAGUUGUGACCGAUCGUUGUUCUCUCUUACUAACAUGUUACGAGUGACAACAUUCGAACUAAGUUCUCCUCGAAGAGUUACAACAUGUACAUCCGACACUCAUUGUCUUUAUUAUGGAUAAACAAGUGAGAAAAGGACAUGGAUACUAAGUAGACGGUGAUAAGUCAUCUCAAGUCAAUACACGAAGUUAUAAUCCUUCAGUAGUAGAAGAUUUUGUAUGGCAACGGAUGAGUUGUAUAAAACAAGGAAAAACAAAGGUUGUCUAAUACAUAUUUGUGUACACAUGUUAUCUUCGCCGUCUUGGACGUAACCUGGCAGGAGUAAACGAGACAGGUAAAAAAGGUUUCUUUAUUGUGAAGACGUCAGGAUACGUAAGUCUUUAUGCUAAAUCACACGAUAAUUAGGAGCAUUAGCGUGCGAUAUAAAAGACACCCUUAAAGUAGGUAAGACUAAAACUCCGUUUAUAUAGUCAAUUAAAAAAAUAAGAUCGUUCCAUGGUAUAUGUACAAUACUUUAAGAGGAAACGGAUGGUCCAGUUGGUGAAUCCGUCCUCCCUUAAGUAAAUAGUUAUUUUUAUUUAAACAGACUCCCUUACAAUAGAAUAAAGAGGUCAUAUUGGUUUACUUGUGAUGCUACUUGAAUUGUAGAGAGAUAGUAAUAAAGAGAUUCUACGUUCGCUAUAUAUUUUAAAUUUUUCGGGCACCAUUGCGUGCCCGGCAGAUGAUCAAAGCAAGUCAAGUACUCGUCACCUGUUGGUCGAGUUCUCGUUCCGGAAAAAGUUCCAUGGUUGGUAUUACGGUGUAGAGAAAAAACACGGUGCGUAAGUAGUGAUGUAACAUGUUUAAGGUUCCCUUAUUACGAUUUUAUUGUACAACAACGAUGUAAAAUUACAUUGCCAUAACUACGUCUACUGAACACACGAAUUAAUACUUCAAUUAAUGAGCCGUCGUGUAAAUAAAAGGUUCAGCGGUGUCCCUUAAUAAGAAAACCCUAGUAUAAAUAAGAGACGUUUUCCAUCAGAGUUGAACGAAUUACCGGUGUAAACUGCCAACGAAUUUGGAAGACCUGUUCUGCGUCUGUAUGUUGACACACUGUUGAAUUACGGAAAACCCCUUAAAACUAACGAAAAGGAUUGUUCUUUCGUAUUGUUAUAGACGCUUACAAUUAAUGAAUCAAAUGGUUUCCAUUUACAGACGCUGUACUGUUCAUACACCUAACUAAAAUUCACUUGGCUGAUUGACCUACUAAACCAAGAAACACGAUUCAGAAACUUUUUCUUGCAUGAAUAUACAAGAUGACAUAAUAUAGUAUACCGAUUACGGUAUAAACAAUGUAUGAUCGAUUUCUACUUCUUUAUAAAUGCGUUUCUUGUAAGUAAAAGUGUAACGAACCGUACGCAGAUCCAGUAAGAUAAAUAAUGGUAACGACUUUCGACAUGAAGACGUACGGCUAUCAAAGUAAGCUUAUCGAGAGGAAUCUAAAAAAGUAUCAAGUAAGGAAGGUCAACAAACUAUCGAAACACUAAUAAAGUUCUUUUAACUAGACAGAACGUCUGACUUUCGUUAGAGUAGGUCAUCAAACUAUAAUACCAGUAACGAGGUUUGUUUAACUAGUCACAUCGUUUGGCUUUUGUUAACCUACGACUACGUUAGUACCGGACUCUAAUAAUUGCUCAUUCCUGUACGUAUCUCAACGAAGGAUGACCAUGUAUUGAUAAAAGAAAGAUGUCCAUGAUACAACUUAGAAGUAUCUAGAGUAGAAGUACUCUGAUCGCUUCCCAUAUGCAAUCCUACCUCUCUACUCCACUCAAAGAUUUAAAGUGGCAGGUUAGAUUCGUAGUGUUUUCCACUCGUAAUGAUAAGUUUCCCUACUGAUUAAUUAAUUGGAGAAUUAAAGAAAAAUGUCUUUAAUUGGUCUAUCAUGCACCGACUUAUUAAAACUUGAUCGAUGAUAAAGAUGUACCUCACGGUACAAGUUUAUCUGCUUCACUUCAACAUCACCCAAGACUCGGUAAGAAUAUUUCUAUCCCCACACAUCAUCGAUCGCCUCGAUGCAUCGUUUUCGACCCGCCCGGCCAUACUUCUUUCUGGUGAUAAAAAACAGGAGCACUGAGUUAAAUGAAAUUAGGAUGUGACGUAAACGAGAACUUACCCGCCCGGUACCGGUCGAGGCGGUCACCCCCACACGGUAUAAUAAAAAGAGAGAAACGUUGCGUGAUGAGAAAGUAGCCUACUUUACUCUCACACCUCGACUUUAUCCAGAAAGUAGCCUACUUUACUCUCACACCUCGACUUUAUCCAGUCCUACUUGUAACAAUCCUAUGCAGGUUUAAAGUACCGGUUUUUUCUUUAUAAGCCACAUUGGAAUAAGGACUGAAACGUUUUUUAAUCUAAUUUUUCACAACGUAUUACCGUGCACCUCG